UUAGAUUUUAUUUAUUAAUAUUAAUUUUUUAAAAAUUUAAAUUAUUAAAAAUAAUUAUAUAAUUAAUUGUUUUAGUAUUUUAUUAAGAAAAAAUAAUAUUUAUAAUAGUUUAAUAGUAUUGUGAAAGAAUAUUGAAAUAAUUUGAAAAAUUUUUAUUAUAUAAGAAAAUUUAAUUUAUUGUACCUUGUGUAUCAGGGUUUAUUUAUUAAAAAUUAUUUAAAUUAAUUUUCUCGAUUUUAAAAGAGUUAAUAUAUUAUUAAAUUUAAUGUAACAAUAUUAUUUUAAAUAAUAUAUUAGAAAUGAAAUGUUAUUCGUUUUUAAAGGUAUCUAGUUCUUUAAGAAAUAAAUUUAAUUUAGAAAUUUUAUAUUAAUUAAUUAAAUAUAUUAAUUGGUUAAUUAUUUAAUUUUAAUAUUUUAUGGGAUAAGCUAUAAAAUAAAUUUUUAAAAAUUAUUAAAUAAAAUAUUAAAUAUAAACUUAAAAAUAGUUAUUAUUAAUAAAAAUGUUAUAAUUUAUUUUAUAAAUUAAAUUAUUUAUUGAAAUUUUAAAUAUUUAUUAAAGUAUUUAUUUAAAUUAUUAAAAUAAAAAAAUAAUGAUAAAAUUAGUAUAAUAUAUUGUAAAAUUAAAUAUAAUUGAAAAGUUAUUUUAAAGAAUUCGGCAAAAAUUAAUAUUCGCCUGUUUAACAAAAACAUGUCUUUUUUUAUUUUAUAAAAAGUCUGACCUGCCCACUGAAUUAUUUUAAAUGGCCGCAGUAUAUUAACUGUGCAAAGGUAGCAUAAUCAUUAGUCUUUUAAUUGAAGGCUUGUAUGAAUGGUUUGACGAAAUAUUAACUGUUUCAUAUUAAUUUAUAUUAAAAUUUUAUUUUUUAGUAAAAAAGCUAAAAUUUAUUUAAAAGACGAGAAGACCCUAUAAAUCUUUAUAUUUAAUUUAUUAAUAUUUUUUGGAAUUUUUUUGUUAUAAUAAAUAAUUAAUAUUUUAUUGGGGUGAUAUUAAAAUUUAAAAAACUUUUAAUUAAUUUUUACAUUAAUUUAUGAAUUAUUGAUCCAUUAUUAGUGAUUAAAAAUUUAAGUUACUUUAGGGAUAACAGCGUAAUUUUUUUGGAGAGUUCUUAUCAAUAAAAAAGAUUGCGACCUCGAUGUUGGAUUAAGAUAUAAUUUUAGGUGUAGAAGCUUAAACUUUAAGUCUGUUCGACUUUUAAAUUCUUACAUGAUCUGAGUUCAGACCGGCGUAAGCCAGGUUGGUUUCUAUCUUUAAAAAUUUAAAAUAUUUCAGUACGAAAGGACCUAGUAUUUAAUAAAUUAUUAUUUUUAUAUUGAAUUUUAUUAAUAUUACU
Molecule: ribosomal RNA, 1331 nt
Filed under: Winthemia rufopicta
Lineage: Eukaryota; Metazoa; Arthropoda; Insecta; Diptera; Tachinidae
Description: 16S ribosomal RNA
Source: RNAcentral